Strigops habroptila (Kakapo) is the source of this 2170-nucleotide long non-coding RNA. RefSeq lists it as uncharacterized. NCBI's taxonomy places the organism in Eukaryota, Metazoa, Chordata, Aves, Psittaciformes, Psittacidae. The transcript is spliced from 4 exons. The record is from RefSeq and is a predicted model, not a curated record.
GCUGGUGGGAGGAGGGGUCUCCGGCAAGUCAGGAGUGAGCAGGUUCAUCGGGAAAGCACCACCUGGGAUGCAGCAGGCGAAGGGGAGAGCAGCCCCCGUUGGAAAUGAAGGGACCCAGGCGGCAGCGCUGGGGCUCAGCAGUGCCAGAGGGCUCAAGACAGAGCCCUGCAUAGCCCCGGACUGCCCCCACAUCGCCCAGCAUUGGCAAUACUGACGCGUCUCACUCGAUGCCUGAACACCAUACACAAAUAGCACCGCAUCAUUCUUGGUUCGUUUCAAGAGUGGCUAACCCAACACCACAUGCUGUUGCCUGAAGUCUCAGGAGCUAUAGCCAAAGUUUCAGGAACCACUCAUUAUCCACACAGUGAGAAUCAGUCAUCCCACUAAACUGGACAUAAUCAUAAGUAACCUUCAGACUUUGAAAAAUUACAAAUUACAAGACAGACAUGAAUACCUAACUGACGAGGAUAACCAGCUGUCGAAGUGAGAAUUCAGUGUCCUCAUUACUGCUAUUUCUCCUACUUGUCAUCAUCUAUAACAAAACUGGAAACAAAUCAGGACAAUCAUGCUGUGACUUGGGACACUGCUGCUUCCAAGGACCAGCACACCAUUAAGGAGCUCUCCUACAUGCCAGCCAAUUAAUGCAACGUUACUCUUCAGGAAAAAAAAAAAGCAAGCAUGAACUUCAGGAGACGAAAUGAAGAAGCCAAGCCAUACUAAUGGGUUUGAUGACUCACCAGAUCAUUAACAUUGGAUUUUAGAGACACACGGAAACUUCUUAUUAAGCAUACACACACAUAUCUGAAGGGCAAGAGCCUAGCUUCUAGAAAAGUGGAUGGUAUCAGGUUAACCACUGAUCAGGCAAAGCCUCUCAUUUGUCUGUGGCAAAAUGUGUUCUGCGCCCCUGCCUGGAUUUGCAGACAUAUAAGCACGACACUGCAUGUCAGCAGCUUGUAGAAAUUGGCCAUAUUCACCACUGUUAAGCUGUAAAUUGUCUGCAAUGAUGGGGAAGUUUCAAACAAAUCACCAUAGCUCCAAGUUGGUGAAAACACAGCAAAUUUGAACUCAAAGAUGUCACCAGCCAUCAUGAAUCUAGUUUGAUCCACCAAUGCAAGGAGGUAUGGCCAUGUCUACAAGUCCUCACCUGCAACUGCUGACAAGAGAGAUGAUGCUCAGAAAGGAACUGGUGGGGGAUCAAAGCAUUUUGGCUAGCCCAGAUAUUUCAGCCCCAGAUAUUUUAUAAUAAUCAACCCGAGACUUUGGCUUUCCCCCGUUUCAUUUAUUCCCUCCCACACAACAGACUCACUUUCUGAAAAACCUUACCUCCUCAUUUGCUAUUUCUUUGCAGUCUUCCACCACCUGCUAACCAUGCCUUUUUAAGGCCAAAGCAUACGUCAUAAGGAAUAUUAGUUCACAUGUAUAACUUGCUUGACUGUUACCAUUGGCCUUACUGUGAUUGGUCCUAUAAUCACUGCCAGGUUUUGACAUAGAGAAGCCAACUCCAUUUACUUUGACCCUCCCGAUUUAUCAGCUCACUUCUCUUCUGCCUGCACUGGGACAAUGAGGUAAAACAUUGUGCUGUUCUAGGCAGCUAGAACAGCAGAAUGAGCUCAAGCAGAUGGGACGGUGACAGGAACAGCAGCAGAAAUGGGGCCACAGACCGAUCUUGCUUGUUUGCAUGAAGCUUUAACUACCCAACUCGGGAUUACUGGAAGGCACAGUUCACUCGUUCUCUUCUGAUGUGUGCGAAGAAGAAUGAAUGUAAUCAAACGUCUAAGAAAUGGAAAUUAAUCUACAAGCUAUUACUCCUGCAAGAAGCUGACAACUGUAUAUGCACUACAUGACUCUUCAGCUUAUCAGAAUCAGGAUUCAGCCAAGAGAGAACUUCAGACUCAAGAUUCCUCAUUAUGAUUUUUAGGCUUGUUCUUUUCUCUUCAUUCUCCCCCUUCCCUCCCACACACAUUAUCCAUCCCUGCCUUCUGUACUACACACAUGCAUGUACUAGGACAGGAUUGAUGAGAACAGAGAAAAGAAGGUCCCUUCAACAGAGCCAGGUCUCCUUGACCCCAGCAUCACCAGCCUACAAAUGUGUGUUGUAAUUUAUGUUUCGGGAGUGAUGGACAGUUACACCUAGUAAGUGUAUUUACAAAUUAAAUAAUAUUCAUAAUCA